Molecule: ribosomal RNA, 253 nt
Filed under: uncultured Eubacteriales bacterium
Lineage: Bacteria; Bacillati; Bacillota; Clostridia; Eubacteriales
Description: uncultured Clostridiales bacterium partial 16S ribosomal RNA
Rfam family: Bacterial small subunit ribosomal RNA
Source: RNAcentral
UACGUAGGGGGCAAGCGUUAUCCGGAUUUACUGGGUGUAAAGGGAGCGCAGGCGGUAUGGCAAGUCAGAUGUGAAAACCCAGGGCUCAACCCUGGGACUGCUUUUGAAACUGCCAAGCUAGAGUGUCGGAGAGGUAAGUGGAAUUCCUAGUGUAGCGGUGAAAUGCGUAGAUAUUAGGAGGAACACCAGUGGCGAAGGCGGCUUACUGGACGAUGACUGACGCUGAGGCUCGAAAGCGUGGGGAGCAAAAAGG